UGGAGGGCGGCGACAACGGCCACUACCCGCCCUCCUGGUACAGCAAAGCCAAAAAUCCCGAGAGGCCGCCCACGCAAACGGGCAACCACGCGGCAGCGAGCGGAUGCAUCAACUCGGCCUUGCUCAAAUCUUCAGUUACUUUCGACAGGACAUAGAGCAGAAACCCUGCUGCAACGCCACUUAAAACCAUCUUUUGCACCCCGCCGA
RNAcentral lists this unclassified non-coding RNA (207 nucleotides) under Hevea brasiliensis (rubber tree). The record is from RNAcentral. Lineage: Eukaryota; Viridiplantae; Streptophyta; Magnoliopsida; Malpighiales; Euphorbiaceae.